AGCGAACGCUGGCGGCAGGCUUAACACAUGCAAGUCGAGCGGGCACUCUCGGGUGUCAGCGGCUGACGGGUGAGUAACGCGGGGGGACGUGCGCUCUGAUUCGGAAUAACUCUUUGGAACUUGAGCUAAUACCGGAGACGACCUUUUGGUGGAAGGCGUGCUGCCGGAGGAUGGGCCCGCGUCUGAUUGGCUGGGUGGUUGGGUAACCGGUCACCAAGGUGGCGAGUAGGAGCUGGUAUGAGAGGCUGAUCCGCCACGCCGGGGCUGAGACCCGGCCCAGAAUCCUACGGAAGGGAGGAGUGGGGAAUAUAGGGCGAUGGGGGCAAGCCUGAUCCAGCCAUGCCGGGUGAGUGAUGAAGGUGGUAGGGAUGUGCAGCUGUUUUAUACGGGGCGAUAAUGACGGUACCGGAGGAAUAAGCCCCGGCUAACUUCGUG
RNAcentral lists this ribosomal RNA (435 nucleotides) under uncultured bacterium. RNAcentral's name for it is "partial 16S ribosomal RNA". It matches the Rfam family "Bacterial small subunit ribosomal RNA", at positions 30 to 507 of the family's 1533-position model. The record is from RNAcentral.